GAUGAACGCUGGCGGCGUGCCUAAUACAUGCAAGUCGAACGCUGAAGCUUGGUGCUUGCACCGAGCGGAUGAGUUGCGAACGGGUGAGUAACGCGUAGGUAACCUGCCUCUUAGCGGGGGAUAACUAUUGGAAACGAUAGCUAAUACCGCAUAAAAGUCGAUAUCGCAUGAUAUUGAUUUGAAAGGUGCAAUUGCAUCACUAAGAGAUGGACCUGCGUUGUAUUAGCUAGUUGGUGAGGUAACGGCUCACCAAGGCAACGAUACAUAGCCGACCUGAGAGGGUGAUCGGCCACACUGGGACUGAGACACGGCCCAGACUCCUACGGGAGGCAGCAGUAGGGAAUCUUCGGCAAUGGGGGCAACCCUGACCGAGCAACGCCGCGUGAGUGAAGAAGGUUUUCGGAUCGUAAAGCUCUGUUGUAAGAGAAGAACGAGUGUGAGAGUGGAAAGUUCACACUGUGACGGUAACUUACCAGAAAGGGACGGCUAACUACGUG
This 497-nucleotide ribosomal RNA is filed under the name uncultured bacterium. Its description in RNAcentral is "partial 16S ribosomal RNA". It matches the Rfam family "Bacterial small subunit ribosomal RNA", at positions 28 to 507 of the family's 1533-position model. The record is from RNAcentral.